ACGGAAAGGCCCUUCGGGGUACUCGAGUGGCGAACGGGUGAGUAACACGUGGGUGAUCUGCCCUGCACUUUGGGAUAAGCCUGGGAAACUGGGUCUAAUACCGAAUAGGACCGCAUGCUUCAUGGUGUGUGGUGGAAAGCUUUUGCGGUGUGGGAUGGGCCCGCGGCCUAUCAGCUUGUUGGUGAGGUAAUGGCUUACCAAGGCGACGACGGGUAGCCGGCCUGAGAGGGUGACCGGCCACACUGGGACUGAGAUACGGCCCAGACUCCUACGGGAGGCAGCAGUGGGGAAUAUUGCACAAUGGGCGCAAGCCUGAUGCAGCGACGCCGCGUGAGGGAUGACGGCCUUCGGGUUGUAAACCUCUUUCGCCAGGGACGAAGCGCAAGUGACGGUACCUGGAGAAGAAGGACCGGCCAACUACGUGCCAGCAGCCGCGGUAAUACGUAGGGUCCGAGCGUUGUCCGGAAUUACUGGGCGUAAAGAGCUCGUAGGUGGUUUGUCGCGUUGUUCGUGAAAACUCACAGCUUAACUGUGGGCGUGCGGGCGAUACGGGCAGACUUGAGUACUGCAGGGGAGACUGGAAUUCCUGGUGUAGCGGUGGAAUGCGCAGAUAUCAGGAGGAACACCGGUGGCGAAGGCGGGUCUCUGGGCAGUAACUGACGCUGAGGAGCGAAAGCGUGGGGAGCGAACAGGAUUAGAUACCCUGGUAGUCCACGCCGUAAACGGUGGGUACUAGGUGUGGGUUUCCUUCCUUGGGAUCCGUGCCGUAGCUAACGCAUUAAGUACCCCGCCUGGGGAGUACGGCCGCAAGGCUAAAACUCAAAGAAAUUGACGGGGGCCCGCACAAGCGGCGGAGCAUGUGGAUUAAUUCGAUGCAACGCGAAGAACCUUACCUGGGUUUGACAUGCACAGGACGCCGGCAGAGAUGUCGGUUCCCUUGUGGCCUGUGUGCAGGUGGUGCAUGGCUGUCGUCAGCUCGUGUCGUGAGAUGUUGGGUUAAGUCCCGCAACGAGCGCAACCCUUGUCUCAUGUUGCCAGCACGUUAUGGUGGGGACUCGUGAGAGACUGCCGGGGUCAACUCGGAGGAAGGUGGGGAUGACGUCAAGUCAUCAUGCCCCUUAUGUCCAGGGCUUCACACAUGCUACAAUGGCCGGUACAAAGGGCUGCGAUGCCGUGAGGUGGAGCGAAUCCUUUCAAAGCCGGUCUCAGUUCGGAUCGGGGUCUGCAACUCGACCCCGUGAAGUCGGAGUCGCUAGUAAUCGCAGAUCAGCAACGCUGCGGUGAAUACGUUCCCGGGCCUUGUACACACCGCCCGUCACGUCAUGAAAGUCGGUAACACCCGAAGCCGGUGGCCUAACCCCUUGUGGGAGGAGCCGUCGAAG
Molecule: ribosomal RNA, 1382 nt
Filed under: Mycolicibacterium gilvum
Lineage: Bacteria; Bacillati; Actinomycetota; Actinomycetes; Mycobacteriales; Mycobacteriaceae
Description: Mycobacterium gilvum 16S ribosomal RNA
Rfam family: Bacterial small subunit ribosomal RNA
Source: RNAcentral